GUAAUGGCAUUAGAAGGAAAGGCAUUGAGUUGGUACCAAUGGUGGGAAAAGUGUAAUCCGAGUCAUUGCUGGGAAGCUUUUAAAAUUGCAGUGUUGCGACGGUUCCAACCUUCCAUGGUCCAGAAUCCGUUCGAACAAUUGCUUGCUCUCAAACAAGUGGGGUCUGUGGAGGAAUAUGUGGAGAGCUUUGAGAAAUACGUAGGGGCUUUAAGAACACUAGACGAGAGCUUCGUGACUGGAGUUUUCUUGAAUGGCCUACGGGAUGAGUUAAGGGCGGAGGUAAAACUGUUCGAAUUACACUCUCUUUCAUAGAUUAUAGAGAAAGUUUUGCUUAUUGAUCAAAAAAAUCAGGUAAUAGCUAGACGGAUGGGAUAUGGACCCUUAGUCAAAAAUAUGAGUAAUACUCGUCUUGGACCUACCACUAAAACAGUAACAGUGGAGGCUAAGCCCGCUUGGAAAAGAAAUGGAGAAGGGGCAAAUAAUAACAAUACUGGAGGGAGGAUCUCGGUUCAGAAUCCGUUUGGGGAUGGAAACAAAAACAUAGGAGGAGAGUAUAGACAAUUAUCCAACGCUGAGUGGAAAGAGAAAAGAGAGAAAAGCUUAUGCUUUCGCUGCGAUGAGCCCUAUACAAGGGAACAUCGAUAUAAGAACAAACAAUUUUGUAUGAUUAUUAUGGAGGAAUAGGAUGAGGAGGAAGGGGAGGCAAGAUCAGAUUCACUGUCCACAUUAAACUCUCUACACCUCUCUUUGUGUUCGAUGAAAGGUUUCACAACAACAAGGUCAUGGAAGGUCGCUGGAUUGAUCGACG
This 808-nucleotide long non-coding RNA is filed under the name Lupinus mutabilis. Its description in RNAcentral is "partial ncRNA". The record is from RNAcentral. Lineage: Eukaryota; Viridiplantae; Streptophyta; Magnoliopsida; Fabales; Fabaceae.